GACGAACGCUGGCGGCGUGCCUAAUACAUGCAAGUAGAACGCACAGUUUAUACCGUAGCUUGCUACACCAUAAACUGUGAGUUGCGAACGGGUGAGUAACGCGUAGGUAACCUGCCUGGUAGCGGGGGAUAACUAUUGGAAACGAUAGCUAAUACCGCAUAAUAUUGAUUAUUGCAUGAUAAUUGAUUGAAAGAUGCUAUUGCAUCACUACCAGAUGGACCUGCGUUGUAUUGGCUAGUAGGUGAGGUAACGGCUCACCUAGGCGACGAUACAUAGCCGACCUGAGAGGGUGAUCGGCCACACUGGGACUGAGACACGGCCCAGACUCCUACGGGAGGCAGCAGUAGGGAAUCUUCGGCAAUGGACGAAAGUCUGACCGAGCAACGCCGCGUGAGUGAAGAAGGUUUUCGGAUCGUAAAGCUCUGUUGUAAGAGAAGAACGGGUGUGAGAGUGGAAAGUUCACACUGUGACGGUAUCUUACCAGAAAGGGACGGCUAACUACGUG
RNAcentral lists this ribosomal RNA (505 nucleotides) under uncultured bacterium. RNAcentral's name for it is "partial 16S ribosomal RNA". It matches the Rfam family "Bacterial small subunit ribosomal RNA", at positions 28 to 507 of the family's 1533-position model. The record is from RNAcentral.